UACAAAAUGUCUUCCUUCCCUUAUUCUCUGAUCUUCCGAUCAUCAAAAACCUAAGUAUUAUAUAGGUAUUGUCCGUGAAGCAGUAUUUUUCUUUUAAUAUUUUCGAAUGAAGGAAAAUUCAACUGGAAGAGGACCUAGGUCUGUCUAGAUUCUUUCUUGGUAUCUCUCAUUUGGCAACAUGUUUUAACAGGUAAACAUCGAUCUCUAAAACUGUUAAUGCCAAUUUUACGAAAGUGGAUUUACUAAUGGGAUUCUAAAUUUCCCUUUUUAGCACAUCUCAAAAUUAUAAUUCUUUAACAUCAAAAAAAAUUUGAUUCAUAAUUCGUCUGAAAUUUUCGUCGGAGUUAUGUUUUUGUAUCCAGAUGUACCAUCAAGACAUGUCAAAAUAAAAGAAGGUAUGUUUUUUACUAAGAAUUCAUUUUCUGGAUUAUACAAUGUUUCUCCUAAUUGUGUUUUCGUAUUUCUGGUUAAAUCUCUCUUUCUUUGACAAGAUAUUAGGGGCCGAUCACUGAAAUCGAAGGGUUGACAAUUUUGUUUGCUAUUACUGCUACAGAAAUCCUUCUAAGUAUCAAUGAUCAAUUUAGUAGCAUAUUUCUGUAAAUACUGUCGAUCCCAAGGAAUAAUAGUGUUGUGUAUGUGGAUCAAAAUCACGACAAUCAUGAUUACGCUACGUCCUCCUCCCUCAUUUUUCUUAUUUUGAGAUGCAUAUAUAUUAAGUACUUAAGCUACUGAUUAAGGGACCUGUUUAGAAUUGCAGGUUGCAAAUAUUUGUAGGCUUUAGUGAAUUGUAGAAAGUAGCCCAAAAUUGUCUUUUACAUAACUUAAGAUAUUUUGUUGCAAUGAGACGUGGCUUCAUUCUUUUCCUCCUAAUGUACUUGAUAACUUUCAUAUCCUGCAGUCAAAUUCGCAGAAUCUGAUGAAGUUUUGAUUGCAAAUUUGGUUGAUGUCUCUGAAAUAGUCAUAUUCCAUAGGAAAGCCAUACUUUGUGUAUCACUUAUUUGCUUUUGUUCCUAUGUGCACCAAGUGUAUCGCAUUUUUGGCACAAUGCAUUUCGUGGAGAUGGAUGCUUAGCUGAUAAAGGUGAUAGUCGAUGUUAUACAGAGAAAGACUCUGUAGCAACACUGGGGUAGUCAAGUUAUUUACUCUUCGCUGUUAUACUGCAUUGUUGGUAGAAUGUGCUUAAUUAUAUUGAGUCUGCUUACAUCUGGAAAUGAGGACCACAAAUGAGGACCUGUGUCAAUUAAUUGCACCAAUGUCUUGACCAGAUUACAUUUGAAUAUGAAAACCACCUCUAUCCAGCUAAACUACGUCAGGGAUCUUGACAGGUGUCUUCCAGAAAUGAACUCAGAGCAUACCAUCAAGGUCUCCCAAAAUGACAUGAAUAUGCUGCCGCCUUCGAGAUGACACAAAAUCACAGCAUAUGUGGGGAUUAAAAGCUCGACAAUGAAUAUAGCCUUUCAAAUGGAAAAAGAAGUUCUUAGUGUAGUUCCCGUUAUCCCUAAAAGCUCCAUCACCAUAGUAAUUUAUAAUAAUAUUAAUUGCUUGCACUAAAUUGCUUAUCUUUUAAGUAAUGUAAGGCAUUUGGGUGUGUGAUGGGAAUCAUAAGAGCAAUUUCAUCACACAAGCAGUUUCUGUUGGGUGGUGGAUUUCCAAAGAUCCAAUUCACAAUUUCCUUAUAUUAGGGAAGUCUGGAAUAUCUAUACAAAGCAUCCGGAUGGGCAUAAUGUCUAAUCCAAUGAUGUGAGCUAGGAUCAGGGAAUAGGAAAGCAUUCAAAUUUACCAUGAAAGUGUUCUUGAGGAUGUCAAUUACUGUGGGUUUCUUCUAUUGCUUGAUAGUUAUGUUAUUAAGAUUCACUAUUCUAUUGGCUUUCACUGUUUACAGAACUUUCAGUUUACAUAAAAAAAAAUAUUAACUGAUCCUAGCUACAUUUCUUUCCAGACUUGUAUCUUGCUAACAAAGAUAUGUGCGUUUCUUCAAAAUUAGGGGUGGCUUUUGGAUCUCAACGGUAAUCCGGUUAUGGCAUACCCAUAUCUCCUCUAGGAUUGUACAUGGCAUGGUCAUCUUCGCAUUAAGUGCGUGGAAAUAUUCUCAAAUUCUUCGUUUCUUAAAAUCAUCGGAAGGACUAGUGGUCAAGCAACAAAACUGUAAAGAAAGUAUCCUACAUUGUUAAAAUUAGCACAGCAAAGAGGUAGUUUUUCGUGAUACGUGAGUGGACAUUGAAUGUCUAUUAUGUUUCUCAUGACAUUUGACUCCAGUAGAGAGCAUUGAUUUGCUAAAUUGAUUUACUUUAAAUCCUAAUGAGGUGUACUAGCUAGAAUGGAAAUUAGUCCAGGAGGCUGUAUAAAGAAAAAUGGUAAUGGAUCAAGUUUAAGACAUGGCCUUUGCCUGCUCGAAUCUAUUCCAAUAGGACUAGAUCCGAGCGGGACU
Papaver somniferum (opium poppy) is the source of this 2428-nucleotide long non-coding RNA. RefSeq lists it as uncharacterized. The transcript is spliced from 3 exons. The record is from RefSeq and is a predicted model, not a curated record. Lineage: Eukaryota; Viridiplantae; Streptophyta; Magnoliopsida; Ranunculales; Papaveraceae.